CAACUCACGACUGUCUUCGUAGCUUCAAUUCAACGCACUACAAAAUGCCGAUUACGCAGGAACAACUGAAGCGCCGCGCCGAGAUGGUGCGCACCGGUGGCAAGGGCUCCAUGCGCCGCACCACCAAGGCCCACCACAAGAGCACUGGCGAUGACAAGAAGGUUCAGGUCACCCUCCGCCGCCUGGGCGUCACCCCCUUCAGCGAUAUCGACGAGGCCGUGUUCUACCGCCAGGACGGCAGCGCCUACUACUUCUCCAAGCCGAAGGUGCAGGCCUCCAUGCAGACGCAGUGCUUCGUGGUGUCGGGUGACUACGAUGUAAAGUCCGCCGAUGAGGUGGAUGCCAAGAAGGACUAAGUUGCCAAGGCUUCUCUACGCCGCUCAGCUUCUCAGACACUGCUGUGAGCCCUCUCUUCUCUCCCCUCCACAAGCCGCCGCUGACCUCUCCCGCUGCCGCACCCUUGCUUCCUUCAAGAGGCGAAGGACAGUCGAGAGGGUUGGUGGGUGGAGAAGAUGAGCCGCCACACAGCUGGUGGGAAAGGGUGAGCAAAGAUAAAGACGGGAGGAGGCAGACAGACCGCGCGUCUGUUCUUCUCGCUACACCUGUUGUUUCGACCCUCCCCGCCUCACUCUCUGCCCCUCUUCUCUUCACGUUGUGACGUGCGAACCUUUUCUUUCGUUCUUUUCUCGUCGCUCAUUUACCUCAACACAAAUG
This 714-nucleotide unclassified non-coding RNA is filed under the name Leishmania donovani. Its description in RNAcentral is "gene:LdHU3.36.5300(CDS-product:misc_RNAion_factor _btf3_putative)". Lineage: Eukaryota; Euglenozoa; Kinetoplastea; Trypanosomatida; Trypanosomatidae. The record is from RNAcentral.